Prionailurus viverrinus (fishing cat) is the source of this 303-nucleotide long non-coding RNA. RefSeq lists it as uncharacterized. The transcript is spliced from 3 exons. Lineage: Eukaryota; Metazoa; Chordata; Mammalia; Carnivora; Felidae. The record is from RefSeq and is a predicted model, not a curated record.
AGCUACUGAAGGUUGGCUGAGUGUGCAUUAAGGCCUGAGCAGCAAUGCCACAUGCCUGGCAGAUGAUGGGCUCUGACCCAAAGAUAUGAGGUUACAGCUCUGGGGCAGACGAGCAGCCUGAGCUCUUUUCUCUGCCUGAUGGCCCCAGUGCCCAACUCUCUGAGGAAAUGAACAGAUGGUCACUGCAAGAGUCACUGAAUCUCCACAUUCAUUCAUUUUUUGGCGACCUUGGUUUUCCAGCUUCAAGCCAAAGAGACCAAGCCUGAAGCUCCCUUCCAGCCCCCUACUUCAGACCUGUAACUG